CAAUAGCGUAUAUUAAUGUUGUUGCAGUUAAAAAGCUCGUAGUUGGAUUUCUGGUGGGAACGCCGGUCCGGCUCCGCAAGGGGUCGUGAAUUGGUUUCUCCUGCCAUCCUCAGGGGGAGCUGCGCUGGUAUUCAUUUAUCGGUGUAGUCACGCCUGUCGUUUACUGUGAACAAAUUAGAGUGUUCAAAGCAAGGUGUACUUGAAUACAUUAGCAUGGAAUAAUAAGAUAGGACUUUGGUGGUUCUUUUUUGAUAUUUUGUUGGUUUGCACGCCAAAGUAAUGAUUAAUAGGAGCAGUUGGGGGUAUUCGUAUUCAAUUGUCAGAGGUGAAAUUCUUGGAUUUAUAGAAGACGAACUACUGCGAAAGCAUUUGCCAAGGAUGUUUUCAUUG
This 390-nucleotide ribosomal RNA is filed under the name uncultured eukaryote. RNAcentral's name for it is "partial 18S ribosomal RNA". It matches the Rfam family "Eukaryotic small subunit ribosomal RNA", at positions 592 to 975 of the family's 1831-position model. The record is from RNAcentral.